Molecule: transfer RNA, 83 nt
Filed under: Caudoviricetes sp.
Lineage: Duplodnaviria; Heunggongvirae; Uroviricota; Caudoviricetes
Description: tRNA-Tyr
Rfam family: tRNA
About the family: Transfer RNA (tRNA) molecules are approximately 80 nucleotides in length. Their secondary structure includes four short double-helical elements and three loops (D, anti-codon, and T loops).
Source: RNAcentral
GGGAGUAUCGCAUAGCGGCAAUUGCAACUGGCUGUAAACCAGUCACCCGAAAGGUUUCGGUGGUUCGAGUCCAUCUGCUCCCA